Molecule: ribosomal RNA, 158 nt
Filed under: Myrothecium sp.
Lineage: Eukaryota; Fungi; Ascomycota; Sordariomycetes; Hypocreales; Stachybotryaceae
Description: partial small subunit ribosomal RNA
Source: RNAcentral
CAGGCCAGCAUCAGUUCGCCCCGGGGGAUAAAGGUUUCGGGAAUGUGGCUCCUCCGGGAGUGUUAUAGCCCGUUGCGUAAUACCCUGGGACGGACUGAGGUUCGCGCUCUGCAAGGAUGCUGGCGUAAUGGUCAUCAACGACCCGUCUUGAAACACGG